ACUAGCAGUAAGAGUUUGAUCAUGGCUCAGAACGAACGCUGGCGGCAUGCCUAACACAUGCAAGUCGAACGAGACCUUCGGGUCUAGUGGCGCACGGGUGCGUAACGCGUGGGAACCUGCCCUUAGGUUCGGAAUAACUCCCCGAAAGGGGUGCUAAUACCGGAUAAUGUCUUCGGACCAAAGAUUUAUCGCCUUUGGAUGGGCCCGCGUUGGAUUAGCUAGUUGGUGAGGUAAAGGCCUACCAAGGCGACGAUCCAUAGCUGGUCUUAGAGGAUGAUCAGCCACACUGGGACUGAGACACGGCCCAGACUCCUACGGGAGGCAGCAGUGGGGAAUAUUGGACAAUGGGCGAAAGCCUGAUCCAGCAAUGCCGCGUGAGUGAUGAAGGCCUUAGGGUUGUAAAGCUCUUUUACCCGGGAUGAUAAUGACAGUACCGGGAGAAUAAGCUCCGGCUAACUCCGUGCCAGCAGCCGCGGUAAUUC
This 482-nucleotide ribosomal RNA is filed under the name uncultured bacterium. Its description in RNAcentral is "bacterial SSU rRNA". It matches the Rfam family "Bacterial small subunit ribosomal RNA", at positions 1 to 526 of the family's 1533-position model. The record is from RNAcentral.